Long non-coding RNA from Asparagus officinalis (garden asparagus), 454 nucleotides. RefSeq lists it as uncharacterized. The transcript has 2 exons. The record is from RefSeq and is a predicted model, not a curated record. Lineage: Eukaryota; Viridiplantae; Streptophyta; Magnoliopsida; Asparagales; Asparagaceae.
AGUAGGGUAUGUAGGUUGAUUUUAGUAUAGUUAACUAUAUAGUGUAUGAUAAUAUCCUAAGAUUAUUUUAAUAGGUAUUCGGGUCUUAAUUUAUAUGGUAGUCUUGAUGGUUAUUUGUAUAUAUUAUGUAGGAAUCCCAAGGGACUUCGAGGAGGCGUCGUGAUUGGUAUUUCGAUAGUCUUUCGGAUUUGAAGACUCGGGAUUAGGUGGAAUUGAGGAUUUGCCAAAUUCUUAGAACGAAGCAAAGAAUAUAAUUCAGGAUUGUUAUUAUCUUCUAGGUGAAGGUUAAAUAAAGUCUUGAUGUAGUUGAUAAAUUGAGAGUGGUGGUUGCGAGAUUUCUUUUCUUUAGGUUGAGUUUUAUUUCAAGUUGAGGAAUAUUUGUUCAUAUCAAGUUAAUUGGAUUAAUGUUGACUUUUGGGAUUAUAGAGAAUAUUUUUUGUUGGUUUUAGUUCAA